GUUGCUGGUGUUAUGGCUGGCUAUGUCGGUUGGGACUUGGGCUGAGGAAAGUGAAUCAUGGACUGGAUGGCUUUCAAAGUCGCCCGGAUUCAGGCAUGACAAUGAAGUAAACCAAGCUAAUACUGCUUCUGGUCCAUCGGCGCAGGGGAGUUCUCAAAAUAUGGAUUUUUUGCUAGCGGUUCAACAAAAAUUACAGGUAGCUUUUCAGGCCAUUCAACAAGGAAAAAAAGAUGAAGGUCAAGAGAUGCUGAAAGUUAUUGUCACAAUUCUUAUGCGGGAAAAAUCUU
Molecule: long non-coding RNA, 287 nt
Filed under: Rosa chinensis
Lineage: Eukaryota; Viridiplantae; Streptophyta; Magnoliopsida; Rosales; Rosaceae
Description: sRNA RchiOBHm_Chr2g0101331
Source: RNAcentral